GCCUUCGUAGUGUAGUGGUUAGCGCGCUAGACGCGUAUUCUAGAGCUCCGUGGUUCGAGUCCGGACGAGGACA
This 73-nucleotide transfer RNA is filed under the name Stegodyphus mimosarum. It matches the Rfam family "tRNA". From Rfam's summary of the family: Transfer RNA (tRNA) molecules are approximately 80 nucleotides in length. Their secondary structure includes four short double-helical elements and three loops (D, anti-codon, and T loops). Lineage: Eukaryota; Metazoa; Arthropoda; Arachnida; Araneae; Eresidae. The record is from Rfam by way of RNAcentral.